Molecule: ribosomal RNA, 465 nt
Filed under: uncultured bacterium
Lineage: Bacteria
Description: partial 16S ribosomal RNA
Rfam family: Bacterial small subunit ribosomal RNA
Source: RNAcentral
GACGAACGCUGGCGGCGUGCUUAACACAUGCAAGUCGUACGGUAAGGCCCUUUCGGGUGUCCACGAGUGGCGACCGGGUGAGUAACACGUGAGUAACCUGCCCACAACUUUUUGAUAACGCUAGUAAACUGGUGCUAAUACUGGAUAUAUCCUCCUCCUGCAUGGUGUGGGUUGGAAAGCUCCGGCGGUUGUGGAUGGACUCGCGGCCUAUCCGCUUGUUGGUGGGGUAGUGGCCUACCAAGGCGGCGACGGGUAGCCGGCCUGAGAGGGUGACCGGCCACACUGGGACCGAGAGAAGGCCCAGACGGCUAAGGGAGGCAGAAGGGGGGAAGAUUGAACAAGGGGCGCAAGCCUGAUGAAGAAAGGCCGCGGGCGGGAUGACGGCCUUGGGGUUGAAAACCGCUUUCAGCAGGGACGAAGCUUUUUGUGACGGUACCUGAAGAAGAAGCACCGGCUAACUACGUG